This 484-nucleotide ribosomal RNA is filed under the name uncultured bacterium. RNAcentral describes it as "partial 16S ribosomal RNA". It matches the Rfam family "Bacterial small subunit ribosomal RNA", at positions 30 to 507 of the family's 1533-position model. The record is from RNAcentral.
AUUGAACGCUGGCGGCAGGCCUAACACAUGCAAGUCGAGCGGAUGAAGGGAGCUUGCUCCUGGAUUCAGCGGCGGACGGGUGAGUAAUGCCUAGGAAUCUGCCUGGUAGUGGGGGAUAACGUCCGGAAACGGGCGCUAAUACCGCAUACGUCCUGAGGGAGAAAGUGGGGGAUCUUCGGACCUCACGCUAUCAGAUGAGCCUAGGUCGGAUUAGCCAGUUGGUGGGGUAAAGGCCUACCAAGGCGACGAUCCGUAACUGGUCUGAGAGGAUGACCAGUCACACUGGAACUGAGACACGGUCCAGACUCCUACGGGAGGCAGCAGUGGGGAAUAUUGGACAAUGGGCGAAAGCCUGAUCCAGCCAUGCCGCGUGUGUGAAGAAGGUCUUCGGAUUGUAAAGCACUUUAAGUUGGGAGGAAGGGCAGUAAGUUAAUACCUUGCUGUUUUGACGUUACCAACAGAAUAAGCACCGGCUAACUUCGUG